RNAcentral lists this transfer RNA (82 nucleotides) under Chelonia mydas (Green sea turtle). It matches the Rfam family "tRNA". Rfam says of the family: Transfer RNA (tRNA) molecules are approximately 80 nucleotides in length. Lineage: Eukaryota; Metazoa; Chordata; Testudines; Cheloniidae. The record is from Rfam by way of RNAcentral.
GUAAUUAUGGCUGCAAGGUUAAGGUGAUGGACUUGAAAUCCAUUGGGCAGUACCUGGGGAGGUUCAAACCCUGCUGACUAUG